This 421-nucleotide ribosomal RNA is filed under the name Vibrio sp. P5-26. Its description in RNAcentral is "bacterial SSU rRNA". It matches the Rfam family "Bacterial small subunit ribosomal RNA", at positions 56 to 469 of the family's 1533-position model. Lineage: Bacteria; Pseudomonadati; Pseudomonadota; Gammaproteobacteria; Vibrionales; Vibrionaceae. The record is from RNAcentral.
UCUUAGCGGAAACGAGUUAUCUGAACCUUCGGGGAACGAUAACGGCGUCGAGCGGCGGACGGGUGAGUAAUGCCUGGGAAAUUGCCCUGAUGUGGGGGAUAACUAUUGGAAACGAUAGCUAAUACCGCAUAACGUCUACGGACCAAAGAGGGGGACCUUCGGGCCUCUCGCUUCAGGAUAUGCCCAGGUGGGAUUAGCUAGUUGGUGAGGUAAUGGCUCACCAAGGCGACGAUCCCUAGCUGGUCUGAGAGGAUGAUCAGCCACACUGGAACUGAGACACGGUCCAGACUCCUACGGGAGGCAGCAGUGGGGAAUAUUGCACAAUGGGCGCAAGCCUGAUGCAGCCAUGCCGCGUGUAUGAAGAAGGCCUUCGGGUUGUAAAGUACUUUCAGUCGUGAGGAAGGCAAUAUAGUUAAUAGCU